AGUUAAAACUUUCAACAACGGAUCUCUUGGUUCUGGCAUCGAUGAAGAACGCAGCGAAAUGCGAUAAGUAAUGUGAAUUGCAGAAUUCAGUGAAUCAUCGAAUCUUUGAACGCACAUUGCGCCCUCUGGUAUUCCGGGGGGCAUGCCUGUCCNAGCGUCGUUA
Molecule: ribosomal RNA, 163 nt
Filed under: Buellia griseovirens
Lineage: Eukaryota; Fungi; Ascomycota; Lecanoromycetes; Caliciales; Caliciaceae
Description: 5.8S ribosomal RNA
Rfam family: 5.8S ribosomal RNA
About the family: 5.8S ribosomal RNA (5.8S rRNA) is a component of the large subunit of the eukaryotic ribosome. It is transcribed by RNA polymerase I as part of the 45S precursor that also contains 18S and 28S rRNA. Functionally, it is thought that 5.8S rRNA may be involved in ribosome translocation.
Source: RNAcentral